AUCCCAGACAAGCUGAGGGAUCUGUGCUUGUCUGAUUCAUGGGAGGCCGAAAGGAAAGCUGGCGAGUUUCGCUGAUAAAUGCCCUUUACCUCUUUCGGGGUGUUUACUAGUUACUCCUUGCCAUACAAAA
This is a non-coding RNA of Punica granatum (pomegranate), 130 nucleotides long. Lineage: Eukaryota; Viridiplantae; Streptophyta; Magnoliopsida; Myrtales; Lythraceae. The record is from Rfam.